Molecule: unclassified non-coding RNA, 147 nt
Filed under: soil metagenome
Description: partial internal transcribed spacer 1
Source: RNAcentral
CCUAGAGUUUGUAGGCUUUUGCCUGCUAUCUCUUACCCAUGUUCUUUUGAGUACCUUCGUUUCCUCGGCGGGUCCCCGCCCCGCCGAUUGGACAAUUUAAACCAUUUGCAGUUGCAAUCAGCGUCCUGAAAAAAACUUAAUAGUUAC